CCCAUCCAAGACAAAGGAAAUAAGUGCAAUUUCAGUUCCUGCAUUCCUGCACAUGCUCAGUACACUGAUGACAGUAUCCUAGCUACGUGUAGCUAACCAACUGACACAACAUACACAUAUGCCACAUGGAGAUUUUGGCCUACUAAAUUUUGACCAUGCUGGAAUCCCAUCACAUUCCCCCCUUUGAUGCCUCUGACAUAACAUUAUUCCAGAUGCAUCACCAAUCACAGUUUUACCUACAUCUCUCAAGUAGCCAUUGAACCAGAGUAGACCUUGUAAGCAUCUUAAAAACUCCUUCAACAUUCCUCAUCCUGAAUAUAUUCUCUUCGGGCUAGGGGAUGAUAUCUUCCAGACAGCCAUUACAUGGGCAGCUGUCUUUCUCUCUAUAGUACUCUCUAUAAAACUACGUAGGGACCUUACCACUAAUG
Non-coding RNA from Pelobates cultripes (western spadefoot toad), 428 nucleotides. Lineage: Eukaryota; Metazoa; Chordata; Amphibia; Anura; Pelobatidae. The record is from the annotation of a GenBank genome assembly.